AGGCCCUACCUGUUCAACCUGAAGCUGAGAGAGUUCAGACUCCAUUUUAAGUGGACACAGCAGGAGGAAAACUGAAGGCUGAAGCAGGCCUAUAGGGAGACAGGCUGAGGAGUUUGUUGCCCAGCUGGAACACAGAGUGGAGACACUGUUAGCUGCACCAUCCAGUACAUGUAAAAUACAACACACCAGCUAAGCUGGAACAACAAGAACACCUGAACUGAAGUCCAGAAGAUGGAGGACAGAGCAGAGUCUGCAGGAUCCAGCUGUCUGUCUAUGAAGAGUGACGGGUCUAAAGAGAACCUCCAACUUCAGUACUGAACCUGGACCCUCAGACACAAAAGUUCAGUCCAACAGACAGAGAGCAGAGUCUGCAGGAUCCAGCUGUCUGUCUAUGAAGAGUGACUUGUCCAAAGAGGAACUUGUGAACUUCAGUCCUGAACCUGGACCCUCAGACACAAAAGAGAAGAAGAGGAGUCAAGUUUCUGUGGAGGAGCAGCCGUCCUGCUGUGCUUUGUGUC
Micropterus salmoides (largemouth bass) is the source of this 518-nucleotide long non-coding RNA. RefSeq lists it as uncharacterized. The transcript has 5 exons. NCBI's taxonomy places the organism in Eukaryota, Metazoa, Chordata, Actinopteri, Centrarchiformes, Centrarchidae. The record is from RefSeq and is a predicted model, not a curated record.